Long non-coding RNA from Schistocerca gregaria, 1350 nucleotides. RefSeq lists it as uncharacterized. The record is from RefSeq and is a predicted model, not a curated record. The transcript has 3 exons. Lineage: Eukaryota; Metazoa; Arthropoda; Insecta; Orthoptera; Acrididae.
AACAUGGCGGAACUUUACAUGUGGUAGCAGAUGAUUUAGUCUGAUGUUUAAAGCUGCUUUGUGUGUCGCCUAAUAUAUACCAGAAUUAUUUGCUCGAUAAAGAAUUAGUAUUAUUGCAUUAAUUAAUUACAUCCAAGGUGUCAAGUUGAGAAACGAUUGAUAGCGGGAAGAGAGUGCAUAGUAAACAAUUACGAAUACGGAUUUUAGUGCCAGAUUGUGAACCAUUAGAGGAAAUAGAAUUUAAAGUGUAUGACGGUCAACCGCCAGUUCUUCAUUAUUAUAUAUACAACGGCGCAAUAUGUGUAAUUUAUCGUCAGUAUUUUUAUCGAUUUCUCCAUUACGUAUGCCCACGCACUCCACUUCUGGCUCUGACUGAAAUUCGGGUGCAAGGAACAGUUUUGUUCAUGCUAUGAUGAACGAAGAGUCAAUUUUAUCUCGGAAUGGCGCCUACGAUCAAUUGUGCUGUGUAAAAAUUGCACAUGUAUACAUUCGGCAAAUUUCUUUAGAAACUACUGAAAUGUGAUCGUUGUUGCAAAGAGCGAAAUUUACUGUUGCACCCGCAUGCCUUGUUUCAUAAGUGCAGAAAAAAACAAGCUAUGCAAAAUAAACACUGUUAUGCAAGAAAACUAUAAGUUACUCAGGUACCUUUAGCCAGUUAUCCUACACUUUAUGAAGAAUAAACUACUACAUUCGUUUCUGUCAACUCCUAAGAGCCAUGAGGCAAGUAGCUUUGCUCGAAAAUUGUACCGUACUGUUUUUAGUGUUUGAUAAUUAGGAAUGUUCUGUUCUAUAUCUGUUUCAAAAUAACUAAGUGGUCAUCAGCUAUUAUUUUUAUUUUGCCCUGCUGUCAGCUGGAUAAGUGCCAUUACAAAUUCAGAGGACCAGUCAGUCCUAAAUUUAUUUGUAACUUUCUACUUGUUCCACAUUUGUUAAUGAGAAAAAUGCCAAGGUGCAUAAUGGUUUACAGUCCACAUUAAAUUGUACAUCCCCCAUCACCACCGAACAGACUAGUUCGCAGCAAAUUCGCACCAAAGGCAGGCAAAGGUAUACCGAAGUUAACUUGGGAACAGUUCAUCAAUUGAGAGCACGAGACUGUAUUCACAGUAGGCCUAAUGAGAUCAUUCCCAUCUAGUGAUUUAGUGGUUCCUGUGUGACGAUAAAGAAUUGUGAUGAAACUUUGAGAAAAUGUAUGUUCCCAGCAAACAUUGUUAAAUAUUUAAGACCAUAAGACCACAUAUUACAUACUUGCACAAUAUAGUCAUUUGACAUCAUAAAGCAACUUUUGUGUGACUUGAGUUUACAACAACUUUGAUAUAUAAUACCUCUGGCAAUAUUAUUAUUUUUUUUUUU